GGUUAAGCGACUAAGCGUACACGGUGGAUGCCCUGGCAGUCAGAGGCGAUGAAGGACGUGCUAAUCUGCGAUAAGCGUCGGUAAGGUGAUAUGAACCGUUAUAACCGGCGAUUUCCGAAUGGGGAAACCCAGUGUGUUUCGACACACUAUCAUUAACUGAAUCCAUAGGUUAAUGAGGCGAACCGGGGGAACUGAAACAUCUAAGUACCCCGAGGAAAAGAAAUCAACCGAGAUUCCCCCAGUAGCGGCGAGCGAACGGGGAGCAGCCCAGAGCCUGAAUCAGUGUGUGUGUUAGUGGAAGCGUCUGGAAAGGCGUGCGAUACAGGGUGACAGCCCCGUACACAAAAAUGCACAUGCUGUGAGCUCGAUGAGUAGGGCGGGACACGUGGUAUCCUGUCUGAAUAUGGGGGGACCAUCCUCCAAGGCUAAAUACUCCUGACUGACCGAUAGUGAACCAGUACCGUGAGGGAAAGGCGAAAAGAACCCCGGCGAGGGGAGUGAAAAAGAACCUGAAACCGUGUACGUACAAGCAGUGGGAGCACGCUUAGGCGUGUGACUGCGUACCUUUUGUAUAAUGGGUCAGCGACUUAUAUUCUGUAGCAAGGUUAACCGAAUAGGGGAGCCGAAGGGAAACCGAGUCUUAACUGGGCGUUAAGUUGCAGGGUAUAGACCCGAAACCCGGUGAUCUAGCCAUGGGCAGGUUGAAGGUUGGGUAACACUAACUGGAGGACCGAACCGACUAAUGUUGAAAAAUUAGCGGAUGACUUGUGGCUGGGGGUGAAAGGCCAAUCAAACCGGGAGAUAGCUGGUUCUCCCCGAAAGCUAUUUAGGUAGCGCCUCGUGAAUUCAUCUCCGGGGGUAGAGCACUGUUUCGGCAAGGGGGUCAUCCCGACUUACCAACCCGAUGCAAACUGCGAAUACCGGAGAAUGUUAUCACGGGAGACACACGGCGGGUGCUAACGUCCGUCGUGAAGAGGGAAACAACCCAGACCGCCAGCUAAGGUCCCAAAGUCAUGGUUAAGUGGGAAACGAUGUGGGAAGGCCCAGACAGCCAGGAUGUUGGCUUAGAAGCAGCCAUCAUUUAAAGAAAGCGUAAUAGCUCACUGGUCGAGUCGGCCUGCGCGGAAGAUGUAACGGGGCUAAACCAUGCACCGAAGCUGCGGCAGCGACGCUGAUGCGUUGUUGGGUAGGGGAGCGUUCUGUAAGCCUGCGAAGGUGUGCUGUGAGGCAUGCUGGAGGUAUCAGAAGUGCGAAUGCUGACAUAAGUAACGAUAAAGCGGGUGAAAAGCCCGCUCGCCGGAAGACCAAGGGUUCCUGUCCAACGUUAAUCGGGGCAGGGUGAGUCGACCCCUAAGGCGAGGCCGAAAGGCGUAGUCGAUGGGAAACAGGUUAAUAUUCCUGUGCUUGGUGUUACUGCGAAGGGGGGACGGAGAAGGCUAUGUUGGCCGGGCGACGGUUGUCCCGGUUUAAGCGUGUAGGCUGGUUUUCCAGGCAAAUCCGGAAAAUCAAGGCUGAGGCGUGAUGACGAGGCACUACGGUGCUGAAGCAACAAAUGCCCUGCUUCCAGGAAAAGCCUCUAAGCAUCAGGUAACAUCAAAUCGUACCCCAAACCGACACAGGUGGUCAGGUAGAGAAUACCAAGGCGCUUGAGAGAACUCGGGUGAAGGAACUAGGCAAAAUGGUGCCGUAACUUCGGGAGAAGGCACGCUGAUAUGUAGGUGAAGUCCCUCGCGGAUGGAGCUGAAAUCAGUCGAAGAUACCAGCUGGCUGCAACUGUUUAUUAAAAACACAGCACUGUGCAAACACGAAAGUGGACGUAUACGGUGUGACGCCUGCCCGGUGCCGGAAGGUUAAUUGAUGGGGUCAGCGCAAGCGAAGCUCUUGAUCGAAGCCCCGGUAAACGGCGGCCGUAACUAUAACGGUCCUAAGGUAGCGAAAUUCCUUGUCGGGUAAGUUCCGACCUGCACGAAUGGCGUAAUGAUGGCCAGGCUGUCUCCACCCGAGACUCAGUGAAAUUGAACUCGCUGUGAAGAUGCAGUGUACCCGCGGCAAGACGGAAAGACCCCGUGAACCUUUACUAUAGCUUGACACUGAACAUUGAGCCUUGAUGUGUAGGAUAGGUGGGAGGCUU
Molecule: ribosomal RNA, 2131 nt
Filed under: Escherichia coli
Lineage: Bacteria; Pseudomonadati; Pseudomonadota; Gammaproteobacteria; Enterobacterales; Enterobacteriaceae
Description: partial 23S ribosomal RNA
Rfam family: Bacterial large subunit ribosomal RNA
Source: RNAcentral